GGGUUGUGAGGUUAAGCGACUAAGCGUACACGGUGGAUGCCCUGGCAGUCAGAGGCGAUGAAGGACGUGCUAAUCUGCGAUAAGCGUCGGUAAGGUGAUAUGAACCGUUAUAACCGGCGAUUUCCGAAUGGGGAAACCCAGUGUGUUUCGACACACUAUCAUUAACUGAAUCCAUAGGUUAAUGAGGCGAACCGGGGGAACUGAAACAUCUAAGUACCCCGAGGAAAAGAAAUCAACCGAGAUUCCCCCAGUAGCGGCGAGCGAACGGGGAGGAGCCCAGAGCCUGAAUCAGUGUGUGUGUUAGUGGAAGCGUCUGGAAAGGCGCGCGAUACAGGGUGACAGCCCCGUACACAAAAAUGCACAUAUUGUGAGCUCGAUGAGUAGGGCGGGACACGUGGUAUCCUGUCUGAAUAUGGGGGGACCAUCCUCCAAGGCUAAAUACUCCUGACUGACCGAUAGUGAACCAGUACCGUGAGGGAAAGGCGAAAAGAACCCCGGCGAGGGGAGUGAAAAAGAACCUGAAACCGUGUACGUACAAGCAGUGGGAGCCUCUUUUAUGGGGUGACUGCGUACCUUUUGUAUAAUGGGUCAGCGACUUAUAUUCUGUAGCAAGGUUAACCGAAUAGGGGAGCCGAAGGGAAACCGAGUCUUAACUGGGCGUUAAGUUGCAGGGUAUAGACCCGAAACCCGGUGAUCUAGCCAUGGGCAGGUUGAAGGUUGGGUAACACUAACUGGAGGACCGAACCGACUAAUGUUGAAAAAUUAGCGGAUGACUUGUGGCUGGGGGUGAAAGGCCAAUCAAACCGGGAGAUAGCUGGUUCUCCCCGAAAGCUAUUUAGGUAGCGCCUCGUGAACUCAUCUCCGGGGGUAGAGCACUGUUUCGGCAAGGGGGUCAUCCCGACUUACCAACCCGAUGCAAACUGCGAAUACCGGAGAAUGUUAUCACGGGAGACACACGGCGGGUGCUAACGUCCGUCGUGAAGAGGGAAACAACCCAGACCGCCAGCUAAGGUCCCAAAGUCAUGGUUAAGUGGGAAACGAUGUGGGAAGGCCCAGACAGCCAGGAUGUUGGCUUAGAAGCAGCCAUCAUUUAAAGAAAGCGUAAUAGCUCACUGGUCGAGUCGGCCUGCGCGGAAGAUGUAACGGGGCUAAACCAUGCACCGAAGCUGCGGCAGCGACGCUGAUGCGUUGUUGGGUAGGGGAGCGUUCUGUAAGCCUGUGAAGGUGUGCUGUGAGGCAUGCUGGAGGUAUCAGAAGUGCGAAUGCUGACAUAAGUAACGAUAAAGCGGGUGAAAAGCCCGCUCGCCGGAAGACCAAGGGUUCCUGUCCAACGUUAAUCGGGGCAGGGUGAGUCGACCCCUAAGGCGAGGCCGAAAGGCGUAGUCGAUGGGAAACAGGUUAAUAUUCCUGUACUUGGUGUUACUGCGAAGGGGGGACGGAGAAGGCUAUGUUGGCCGGGCGACGGUUGUCCCGGUUUAAGCGUGUAGGCUGGUUUUCCAGGCAAAUCCGGAAAAUCAAGGCUGAGGCGUGAUGACGAGGCACUACGGUGCUGAAGCAACAAAUGCCCUGCUUCCAGGAAAAGCCUCUAAGCAUCAGGUAACAUCAAAUCGUACCCCAAACCGACACAGGUGGUCAGGUAGAGAAUACCAAGGCGCUUGAGAGAACUCGGGUGAAGGAACUAGGCAAAAUGGUGCCGUAACUUCGGGAGAAGGCACGCUGAUAUGUAGGUGAAGUCCCUCGCGGAUGGAGCUGAAAUCAGUCGAAGAUACCAGCUGGCUGCAACUGUUUAUUAAAAACACAGCACUGUGCAAACACGAAAGUGGACGUAUACGGUGUGACGCCUGCCCGGUGCCGGAAGGUUAAUUGAUGGGGUCAGCGCAAGCGAAGCUCUUGAUCGAAGCCCCGGUAAACGGCGGCCGUAACUAUAACGGUCCUAAGGUAGCGAAAUUCCUUGUCGGGUAAGUUCCGACCUGCACGAAUGGCGUAAUGAUGGCCAGGCUGUCUCCACCCGAGACUCAGUGAAAUUGAACUCGCUGUGAAGAUGCAGUGUACCCGCGGCAAGACGGAAAGACCCCGUGAACCUUUACUAUAGCUUGACACUGAACAUUGAGCCUUGAUGUGUAGGAUAGGUGGGAGGCUUAGAAGUGUGGACGCCAGUCUGCAUGGAGCCGACCUUGAAAUACCACCCUUUAAUGUUUGAUGUUCUAACGUUGACCCGUGAUCCGGGUUGCGGACAGUGUCUGGUGGGUAGUUUGACUGGGGCGGUCUCCUCCUAAAGAGUAACGGAGGAGCACGAAGGUUGGCUAAUCCUGGUCGGACAUCAGGAGGUUAGUGCAAUGGCAUAAGCCAGCUUGACUGCGAGCGUGACGGCGCGAGCAGGUGCGAAAGCAGGUCAUAGUGAUCCGGUGGUUCUGAAUGGAAGGGCCAUCGCUCAACGGAUAAAAGGUACUCCGGGGAUAACAGGCUGAUACCGCCCAAGAGUUCAUAUCGACGGCGGUGUUUGGCACCUCGAUGUCGGCUCAUCACAUCCUGGGGCUGAAGUAGGUCCCAAGGGUAUGGCUGUUCGCCAUUUAAAGUGGUACGCGAGCUGGGUUUAGAACGUCGUGAGACAGUUCGGUCCCUAUCUGCCGUGGGCGCUGGAGAACUGAGGGGGGCUGCUCCUAGUACGAGAGGACCGGAGUGGACGCAUCACUGGUGUUCGGGUUGUCAUGCCAAUGGCACUGCCCGGUAGCUAAAUGCGGAAGAGAUAAGUGCUGAAAGCAUCUAAGCACGAAACUUGCCCCGAGAUGAGUUCUCCCUGACCCUUUAAGGGUCCUGAAGGAACGUUGAAGACGACGACGUUGAUAGGCCGGGUGUGUAAGCGCAGCGAUGCGUUGAGCUAACCGGUACUAAUGAACCGUGAGGCUUAACCUUACAACGCCGAAG
Molecule: ribosomal RNA, 2925 nt
Filed under: Escherichia coli
Lineage: Bacteria; Pseudomonadati; Pseudomonadota; Gammaproteobacteria; Enterobacterales; Enterobacteriaceae
Description: 23S ribosomal RNA
Rfam family: Bacterial large subunit ribosomal RNA
Source: RNAcentral